Molecule: ribosomal RNA, 288 nt
Filed under: uncultured bacterium
Lineage: Bacteria
Description: partial 16S ribosomal RNA
Rfam family: Bacterial small subunit ribosomal RNA
Source: RNAcentral
GGAUUAGAUACCCUGGUAGUCCACGCUGUAAACGAUGGUUACUAGGUGUUCGGCCUUCGGGUUGAGUGCCCAAGCGAAAGCGAUAAGUAACCCACCUGGGGAGUACGUUCGCAAGAAUGAAACUCAAAGGAAUUGACGGGGGCCCGCACAAGCGGUGGAGCAUGUGGUUUAAUUCGAUGAUACGCGAGGAACCUUACCUGGGCUACAAUGCCUCUGCUAUCCGGUGAAAGCUGGAGUUCCUUCGGGACAGAGUGCAAGGUGCUGCAUGGUUGUCGUCAGCUCGUGCUG